CCCUUAGAUGUUCUGGGCCGCACGCGCGCUACACUGAUGCAUUCAACGAGUUUCUUCCUGGUCCGAGAGGAAUGGGUAACCUUUUGAAAGUGCAUCGUGAUAGGGAUAGACUAUUGCAAUUAUUGGUCUUCAACGAGGAAUUCCUAGUAGACGUAGUUCAUCAGACUGCAUCGAUUACGUCCCUGCCCUUUGUACACACCGCCCGUCGCUCCUACCGAUUGAAUGCUCAGGUGAGCCAUUCGGACUUUCAUCAUGCUGGUUUCCAGUUUUGAUAAAGGAAAGUCUUGCGAACCUUAUCAUUUAGAGGAAGGAGAAGUCGUAACA
Molecule: ribosomal RNA, 324 nt
Filed under: uncultured eukaryote
Lineage: Eukaryota
Description: partial 18S ribosomal RNA
Rfam family: Eukaryotic small subunit ribosomal RNA
Source: RNAcentral